Molecule: ribosomal RNA, 301 nt
Filed under: uncultured bacterium
Lineage: Bacteria
Description: partial 16S ribosomal RNA
Rfam family: Bacterial small subunit ribosomal RNA
Source: RNAcentral
CAGCAGCCGCGGGAAUACGUAGGUGGCAAGCGUUGUCCGGAAUUAUUGGGCGUAAAGGGCUCGCAGGCGGUUUCUUAAGUCUGAUGUGAAAGCCCCCGGCUCAACCGGGGAGGGUCAUUGGAAACUGGGAAACUUGAGUGCAGAAGAGGAGAGUGGAAUUCCACGUGUAGCGGUGAAAUGCGUAGAGAUGUGGAGGAACACCAGUGGCGAAGGCGACUCUCUGGUCUGUAACUGACGCUGAGGAGCGAAAGCGUGGGGAGCGAACAGGAUUAGAGACCCCCGUAGUCCCUGUCUCUUAUAC